Molecule: ribosomal RNA, 253 nt
Filed under: uncultured bacterium
Lineage: Bacteria
Description: partial 16S ribosomal RNA
Rfam family: Bacterial small subunit ribosomal RNA
Source: RNAcentral
UACGGAGGGUGCAAGCGUUAUCCGGAUUCACUGGGUUUAAAGGGUGUGUAGGCGGGCUGUUAAGUCAGUGGUGAAAUCUCCGGGCUCAACCCGGAAACUGCCAUUGAUACUAUCAGUCUUGAAUUCUGUUGAGGUGGGCGGAAUAUGUCAUGUAGCGGUGAAAUGCAUAGAUAUGACAUAGAACACCAAUAGCGAAGGCAGCUCGCUGGGACGUUACUGACACUGAGGCGCGAAAGCGUGGGGAGCGAACAGG